AAAAUAGCGAAGAGCACGAAUCUGACCUCAAUUUCAACUAACUCCAAAUAUAUAGAAAGAUAUGAGGAGUUGAAUUUUGAGGUGUGUCAACUGAGUUGCUUCGAUUUGACCGCAAAGCAACUCAAUCUUCUUGCCUACAUUGGUAGGACUUCAGACAACCAAAUAUCCAAGAGAAUUGAUGAGAAUUGAGUGAGAAUCGAAGAGAAGAAGUUUUCUGAAAUUUCCUCCAUGCCAGGCCUGU
This 241-nucleotide long non-coding RNA is filed under the name Lathyrus oleraceus (garden pea). RNAcentral's name for it is "Pisum sativum (pea) long non-coding RNA (PSAT_LNC009336)". The record is from RNAcentral. Lineage: Eukaryota; Viridiplantae; Streptophyta; Magnoliopsida; Fabales; Fabaceae.